RNAcentral lists this ribosomal RNA (495 nucleotides) under uncultured soil bacterium. RNAcentral describes it as "bacterial SSU rRNA". It matches the Rfam family "Bacterial small subunit ribosomal RNA", at positions 26 to 517 of the family's 1533-position model. The record is from RNAcentral.
AGAUUGAACGCUGGCGGCAUGCCUAACACAUGCAAGUCGAACGGCAGCACAGCCCGCAAGGGUGGGUGGCGAGUGGCGGACGGGUGAGGAAUACAUAGGAAUCUACCCUGUCGUGGGGGAUAACGUAGGGAAACUUACGCUAAUACCGCAUACGACCGAGAGGUGAAAGCGGCGGACCGCAAGGCGUCGCGCGGCUGGAUGAGCCUAUGUCCGAUUAGCUAGUUGGCGGGUAAUGGCCCACCAAGGCGACGAUCGGUAGCUGGUCUGAGAGGAUGAUCAGCCACACUGGAACUGAGACACGGUCCAGACUCCUACGGGAGCAGCAGUGGGAAUAUUGGACAAUGGGCGCAAGCCUGAUCCAGCAAUGCCGCGUGGGUGAAGAAGGCCUUCGGGUUGUAAAGCCCUUUUAGUACGGAAGAAAUCCGUAGUCGGUUAAUACCCGGCGGGAUGACGGUACCGUAAGAAUAAGCACCGCUAACGUCGUGCCAGCAGCCG